UGGGGAAUUUUGGACAAUGGGCGAAAGCCUGAUCCAGCAAUGCCGCGUGUGUGAAGAAGGCCUUCGGGUUGUAAAGCACUUUUGUCCGGAAAGAAAUCCUUGGCUCUAAUACAGUCGGGGGAUGACGGUACCGGAAGAAUAAGCACCGGCUAACUACGUGCCAGCAGCCGCGGUAAUACGUAGGGUGCAAGCGUUAAUCGGAAUUACUGGGCGUAAAGCGUGCGCAGGCGGUUUGCUAAGACCGAUGUGAAAUCCCCGGGCUCAACCUGGGAACUGCAUUGGUGACUGGCAGGCUAGAGUAUGGCAGAGGGGGGUAGAAUUCCACGUGUAGCAGUGAAAUGCGUAGAGAUGUGGAGGAAUACCGAUGGCGAAGGCAGCCCCCUGGGCCAAUACUGACGCUCAUGCACGGAAGCGUGGGGAGCAAACAGGAUUAGAUACCCUGGUAGUCCACGCCCUAAACGAUGUCAACUAGUUGUUGGGGAUUCAUUUCCUUAGUAACGUAGCUAACGCGUGAAGUUGACCGCCUGGGGAGUACGGUCGCAAGAUUAAAACUCAAAGGAAUUGACGGGGUCAUAGCUG
Molecule: ribosomal RNA, 579 nt
Filed under: uncultured bacterium
Lineage: Bacteria
Description: partial 16S ribosomal RNA
Rfam family: Bacterial small subunit ribosomal RNA
Source: RNAcentral